CGUAGGGUGCGAGCGUUAAUCGGAAUUACUGGGCGUAAAGCGUGCGCAGGCGGUUUAGUAAGACAGGCGUGAAAUCCCCGGGCUCAACCUGGGAACUGCGCUUGUGACUGCUAAGCUAGAGUACGGCAGAGGGGGGUGGAAUUCCACGUGUAGCAGUGAAAUGCGUAGAGAUGUGGAGGAACACCAAUGGCGAAGGCAGCCCCCUCGGGUCGAUACUGACGCUCAUGCACGAAAGCGUGGGUAGCAAACAGGAUUAGAUACCCUGGUAGUCCACGCCCUAAACGAUGUCAACUAGGUGUUGGGAGGGUAAAACCUUUUAGUACCGGAGCUAACGCGUGAAGUUGACCGCCUGGGGAGUACGGCCGCAAGGUUA
RNAcentral lists this ribosomal RNA (373 nucleotides) under uncultured organism. Its description in RNAcentral is "bacterial SSU rRNA". It matches the Rfam family "Bacterial small subunit ribosomal RNA", at positions 526 to 896 of the family's 1533-position model. The record is from RNAcentral.